RNAcentral lists this ribosomal RNA (468 nucleotides) under uncultured bacterium. RNAcentral describes it as "partial 16S ribosomal RNA". It matches the Rfam family "Bacterial small subunit ribosomal RNA", at positions 28 to 507 of the family's 1533-position model. The record is from RNAcentral.
GACGAACGCUGGCGGCGUGCUUAACACAUGCAAGUCGAACGGAAAGGCCCUGCUUUUGUGGGGUGCUCGAGUGGCGAACGGGUGAGUAACACGUGAGUAACCUGCCCUUGACUUUGGGAUAACUUCAGGAAACUGGGGCUCAUACCGGAUAGGAGCUACUGCUGCAUGGGGGGGGUUGGAAAGUUUCGGCGGUUGGGGAUGGACUCGCGGCUUAUCAGCUUGUUGGUGGGGUAGUGGCUUACCAAGGCUUUGACGGGUAGCCGGCCUGAGAGGGUGACCGGCCACAAUGGGACUGCGAUACGGACCAGACGCCUACGGGAGGCAGCAGUCGGGAAUAUGGCACAAUGGGCGGAAGCGUGAUGCAGCGACGUCGCGUGCGUGAUAACGGCCUUCGGGGUGUAAACCGCUUUCGCCUGAGACGAAGCGUGAGUGACGGUAAUGGGUAAAGAAGCACCGGCUAACUACGUG